GACGAACGCUGGCGGCGUGCUUAACACAUGCAAGUCGAGCGGAAAGGCCCUGCUUUUGUUGGGUGCUCGAGUGGCGAACGGGUGAGUAACACGUGAGUAACCUGCCCUUGACUUUGGGAUAACUUCAGGAAACUGGGGCUAAUACCGGGUAUGAUCUCCUGCUGCAUGUGGGGGGUUGGAAAGUUUCGGCGGUUGGGUAUGUAUUCGCGGCUUAUCAGCUUGUUUGUGGGGUAGUGGCUUACCAAGGUUUUGACGGGUAGCCGGCCUGAGAGGGUGAGCGGCGACACUGGGACUGAGAUAAGGCACCGACUCCUACGGGAGGGAGCAGUGGGGAAGAUUGCAGAAUGGGCGGAAGCCUGAUGCAGAAACGCCGCGUGCGGGAUGACGGUCUUCGGGUUGUAAACCGCAUUCGCCUGUGACGAAGCGUGAGUGACCGUAAUGGGUACAGAAGCACAGGCUAAAUACGUG
RNAcentral lists this ribosomal RNA (468 nucleotides) under uncultured bacterium. Its description in RNAcentral is "partial 16S ribosomal RNA". It matches the Rfam family "Bacterial small subunit ribosomal RNA", at positions 28 to 507 of the family's 1533-position model. The record is from RNAcentral.